UACAGAGGUGGCAAGCGUUGUUCGGAAUUACUGGGCGGAAAGGGCGCGUAGGCGGCCUUCUAAGUCAGACGUGAAAUCCCCCGGCUUAACCUGGGAACUGCGUCUGAUACUGGAAGGCUUGAGUGCGGGAGAGGGAUGUGGAAUUCCAGGUGUAGCGGUGAAAUGCGUAGAUAUCUGGAGGAACACCGGUGGCGAAGGCGGCAUCCUGGACCGACACUGACGCUGAGGCGCGAAAGCGUGGGGAGCAAACAGG
Molecule: ribosomal RNA, 253 nt
Filed under: uncultured bacterium
Lineage: Bacteria
Description: partial 16S ribosomal RNA
Rfam family: Bacterial small subunit ribosomal RNA
Source: RNAcentral